This 443-nucleotide ribosomal RNA is filed under the name uncultured bacterium. RNAcentral's name for it is "partial 16S ribosomal RNA". It matches the Rfam family "Bacterial small subunit ribosomal RNA", at positions 338 to 795 of the family's 1533-position model. The record is from RNAcentral.
CCUACGGGUGGCAGCAGUGGGGAAUAUUGGGCAAUGGGCGCAAGCCUGACCCAGCAACGCCGCGUGAAGGAAGAAGGCUUUCGGGUUGUAAACUUCUUUUCUCAGGGACGAAGCAAGUGACGGUACCUGAGGAAUAAGCCACGGCUAACUACGUGCCAGCAGCCGCGGUAUUACGUAGGUGGCAAGCGUUAUCCGGAUUUACUGGGUGUAAAGGGCGUGUAGGCGGGAAAGCAAGUCAGAUGUGAAAACCAUGGGCUCAACCUGUGGCCUGCAUUUGAAACUGUUUUUCUUGAGUACUGGAGAGGCAGGCGGAAUUCGGGGUGUAGCGGUGAAAUGCGUAGAUAUACGGAGGAACACCAGUGGCGAAGGCGGCCUGCUGGACAAUAACUGACGCUGAGGAGCGAAAGCGUGGGUAGCAAACAGGAUUAGAUACCCUUGUAGUC